UGAGGAAUAUUGGUCAAUGGACGCAAGUCUGAACCAGCCAAGUAGCGUGCAGGAUGACGGCCCUAUGGGUUGUAAACUGCUUUUAUAUGGGGAUAAAGUGGGGAACGUGUUCCCUUUUGCAGGUACCAUAUGAAUAAGGACCGGCUAAUUCCGUGCCAGCAGCCGCGGUAAUACGGAAGGUUCGGGCGUUAUCCGGAUUUAUUGGGUUUAAAGGGAGCGUAGGCCGUUUGGUAAGCGUGUUGUGAAAUGUAGGAGCUCAACUUCUAGAUUGCAGCGCGAACUGUCAGACUUGAGUGCGCACAACGUAGGCGGAAUUCAUGGUGUAGCGGUGAAAUGCUUAGAUAUCAUGAAGAACUCCGAUUGCGAAGGUAGCUUACGGGAGCGCAACUGACGCUGAAGCUCGAAGGUGCGGGUAUCGAACAGG
This 424-nucleotide ribosomal RNA is filed under the name Verrucomicrobiota bacterium. RNAcentral's name for it is "Verrucomicrobia bacterium partial 16S ribosomal RNA". It matches the Rfam family "Bacterial small subunit ribosomal RNA", at positions 355 to 776 of the family's 1533-position model. The record is from RNAcentral. Lineage: Bacteria; Pseudomonadati; Verrucomicrobiota.